AUCGGCAGAGGGACGGUUCAGUAACGGUGGUUUUUGAUUUAUUCGUCUUAAAUCAUUCAGAGGGACGGAUUCCUCUUUCCGUCGGUGUUUAUCCUCCAAUAAAAAGGUCAGACUUCAACUCCCAACAUCAAUCCUUUUCGCUGACUCCUCUCUGUCACUUGAGCUUCCUCCGACAACAGGUAUGUCAAAACCCGCUUCUCGCUUCUGGUCCUUUUUCUGCAACCACCGUGAAGAUUUCGAAGCCUCCUUUGGAUUCUGUAGAGGAGGUGCCCGCUAAAUAUUCAACGGAAAGCUCCGCGUCUGAUAAUGAAGGAGACAAGACUGAUUUGCCAACCAUCACGAAAAUAUUUUUUUCAGUAUGCGAAGUUGGUUAAUGGAACUUGGGAUCAGAAACAGAUCGAGAGAGAAGGCGAAACAUAUUGGGAUUCGGUAGUAGUUGCUGUAAUACUGUCUGAACAAAACGAUGUAGGACUAAAACUGGAUAACGUCAGUCAAGGCUAUGUUAUGAAGAAGCUUCUUGCAUUGCAAAGAUGAGUGACUGCUUGUGUAAUUUUUUGUUGAUGAAAAGUGGAGGCCGAGUUAUAUAUGCUGGAAGUCUACGACAUCACUCACAAAUCUCGACUACUUUGAGUUUGUUGCAGGGAUUCAAAAUAUCAAGGACGGAUACACUCCUGCAACGUGUAUUAGACCUGAGAGUUUCUUCCACUGUCAUUACCGGAAUAUCGAUUUCUACUUCAGGAGAACUCAGGAGCUAAUCAAAGAGCUCAGUACUCCACCACCAGAAUCGGAAGUUCUCUACUUCCAAACUACGUACUCCCAGCCAUUUUUGAUAAUUUUUGUAUGAAGUGUGUGUGAGUGAUUGUAAGGUUGUUUUCGCAGAGUACUUAGAUCGGAAAGGCUGUUAAUGGUUUGAGGAAACAUGGCUCUGAUAAGAUUCGCCAACUUGCAAAGACUUUGAUUGGAGAGUGGAAGGAGCUGGUUGAUCAGUGGGUGAACACCACCAAACAAAUCGCUGGUGCUCAAGGUACACCAGAGUCUGCUAAUCCCUCUGUAGUUGAUGAAGAAGAAGAACAUGAGUUUCCAUCCUUCCGUACGGUGUGAUAUUUUUACACCGGAAGCAAACACUUUUGAAAUGUUAAAUGGAAGUAAGAUACCCUCAGUACAAUGACAUCUGGUUUUUCAUGGCAAUAUUGGUUUGGGCGUUGUACAGUAUGGUCACAUCUCAAGUAGGAGACAGGGAUUUGAUAGUGCAGAUCGCUGGUGUCGGAGACAUGAGCCUUAAAAACGUUUGAAAGAUAGGUUCUGGUUCGAACAUGACUUCUUACCAUCUGUAGCUGACGUCCACAUAGGAUAGAUAGUGAUCUUUAUCUUUGCUUAUGAUAUCAAGUUUUUCAACGUACAUCCCUUUGUUUCUCCACCUUUGAAAUGAACUUCUUACAUUAAAAAUUACAUUCAAAACAUGCUUUUUGUGUGUAAUAAUGAAAUUUGUGGUCAGGUU
This is an RNA transcript of Raphanus sativus (radish), 1498 nucleotides long. RefSeq lists it as uncharacterized. The transcript has 6 exons. The record is from RefSeq and is a predicted model, not a curated record. NCBI's taxonomy places the organism in Eukaryota, Viridiplantae, Streptophyta, Magnoliopsida, Brassicales, Brassicaceae.